AUGCAUCUCUGACAGAUCUGGAGCAGUUAAUACCUAUUACUAGGUUUCCAUUACAGAUGCAAGAGAAAGAAGGUCCUUGUGCUUUUUCUCUAGCUGGUUGUGGCAGCCAACAUUGAAUGGGAGGAUACAGGA
Molecule: small nucleolar RNA, 132 nt
Filed under: Dasypus novemcinctus (nine-banded armadillo)
Lineage: Eukaryota; Metazoa; Chordata; Mammalia; Cingulata; Dasypodidae
Description: Small nucleolar RNA SNORA31 (ENSDNOG00000049502.1)
Source: RNAcentral